This 468-nucleotide ribosomal RNA is filed under the name uncultured bacterium. RNAcentral describes it as "partial 16S ribosomal RNA". It matches the Rfam family "Bacterial small subunit ribosomal RNA", at positions 28 to 507 of the family's 1533-position model. The record is from RNAcentral.
GACGAACGCUGGCGGCGUGCUUAACACAUGCAAGUCGAACGGAAAGGCCCUGCUUUUGUGGGGUGCUCGAGUGGCGAACGGGUGAGUAACACGUGAGUAACCUGCCCUUGACUUUGGGAUAACUUCAGGAAACUGGGACUCAUACCGGAUAGGAGCUCCUGCUGCAUGGUGGGGGUUGGAAAGUUUCGGCGGUUGGGGAUGGACUCGCGGCUUAUCAGCUUGUUGGUGGGGUAGUGGCUUACCAAGGCUUUGACGGGUAGCCGGCCUGAGAGGGUGACCGGCCACAUUGGGACUGAGAUACGGCCCAGACUCCUACGGGAGGCAGCAGUGGGGAAUAUUGCACAAUGGGCGGAAGCCUGAUGCAGCAACGCCGCGUGCGGGAUGACGGCCUUCGGGUUGUAAACCGCUUUCGCCUGUAACGAAGCGUGAGUGACGGUAAUGGGUAAAGAAGCACCGGCUAACUACGUG